Molecule: ribosomal RNA, 422 nt
Filed under: uncultured bacterium
Lineage: Bacteria
Description: bacterial SSU rRNA
Rfam family: Bacterial small subunit ribosomal RNA
Source: RNAcentral
UAGGGAAUAUUGGGCAAUGGCCGAGAGGCUGACCCAGCCAUGCCGCGUGCAGGAUGAAGGCUUUCUGAGUCGUAAACUGCUUUUACCAGGGAAGAAAAAAGGGGAUGCGUCCCCUACUGACGGUACCUGGUGAAUAAGCACCGGCUAACUCCGUGCCAGCAGCCGCGGUAAUACGGAGGGUGCAAGCGUUGUCCGGAUUUAUUGGGUUUAAAGGGUGCGUAGGCGGCUUUUUAAGUCCGGGGUGAAAGCCCGUUGCUCAACAACGGAACUGCCCCGGAAACUGGAGAGCUUGAGUACAGACGAGGGUGGCGGAAUGGACGGUGUAGCGGUGAAAUGCAUAGAUACCGUCCAGAACCCCGAUUGCGAAGGCAGCUGCCUAGACUGUAACUGACGCUGAGGCACGAAAGCGUGGGGAGCGAACA